AACGAACGCUGGCGGCAGGCCUAACACAUGCAAGUCGAGCGAGGACUUCGGUCCUAGCGGCGGACGGGUGAGUAACGCGUGGGAACGUGCCCUUUGCUUCGGAAUAGCCCUGGGAAACUGGGAGUAAUACCGGAUGAGCCCUUUGGGGGAAAGAUUUAUCGGCGAAGGAUCGGCCCGCGUCGGAUUAGGUAGUUGGUGGGGUAAUGGCCUACCAAGCCGACGAUCCAUAGCUGGUUUGAGAGGAUGAUCAGCCACACUGGGACUGAGACACGGCCCAGACUCCUACGGGAGGCAGCAGUGGGGAAUCUUAGACAAUGGGGGAAACCCUGAUCUAGCCAUGCCGCGUGAGCGAUGAAGGCCUUAGGGUUGUAAAGCUCUUUCAGCUGGGAAGAUAAUGACGUUACCAGCAGAAGAAGCCCCGGCUAACUCCGUG
This 433-nucleotide ribosomal RNA is filed under the name uncultured bacterium. RNAcentral's name for it is "partial 16S ribosomal RNA". It matches the Rfam family "Bacterial small subunit ribosomal RNA", at positions 29 to 507 of the family's 1533-position model. The record is from RNAcentral.